Molecule: unclassified non-coding RNA, 2803 nt
Filed under: Hevea brasiliensis (rubber tree)
Lineage: Eukaryota; Viridiplantae; Streptophyta; Magnoliopsida; Malpighiales; Euphorbiaceae
Source: RNAcentral
AACAAACCAUCCAUUAAACAACGUCAAACAAAAAAAUGCAACAAAAAGAUCCGUCAAAACCCAUCCAAAGAUGGAUAAUGAAACUUCGAAUCCCGAGACUAGGCGAGCAAACCAGAGAAAAACACAAAAGUAAGAAAUCUAUAACACAAUAAAAAAAGAGGUAGGCCCCCUGGACUUUAAUGUAGCUUAGAGAGGUGUAGACAGGGGUAGAAAUAUGCAAUUCAAAAAAAAGCGAUAUUCUAUGUAAUUUCUAUAGAUAAAGGCCCAAAUGGAAUCCGAAGAAUAAUUAAGCAAUCUCAUUGAUCACGUGGGUUCACAGCAACAGAGGCGCUGCCCCAUGUUCACGUUGCUGUCAGAUUCUCAUGUCUCUGUAAUUCUUUGAUAAUGACAUGGUCAUUUAUGUACAUUGAUAUUCAAGUAUGCGGCGAGCUCCUUUCUUCACUUUAUCCUCUCGAAGCAUAGCUCCGGAUUUUGUUACCAUUGAAUUCCCAAAUUAUCCCUGCCACCCACGUUUUCACUCUUCUAUUCCUCGUUCUGCUCACAGACUUGUCUUCUUUCUCCUGUAAAAUGCCUUUAAUUGAUGUUCACUAUCACCGAUUUUACCCGCAUCCAUAACUCAUUCAAUUACUUGUAACCUGACUCGCUGUGUUCCCCAUAUCAACUCACUGUAACAAUGAGCCGAAUCAGGAGCAUCGAGAUCCUCGAUCCCUACUGCCGCUCCCUCUAUGUUAGAGAAGCUUCCAUUUUCACUCCCAAGACCCUAGCUUUUCCCUCGUUUAUAGUAGAAGAGGAAACCGAUGAUCUCAGUUUUGCUCUUGAUCUUUUAAAACCCGACCCCUGUGAGCUCUUCGACUCAGUUUCGGAUCUGGUCCAAAUCGAGAAACCUUUGUCUUUUUACUCCUACAAGAGGAUCCAGAAACGAGUCGGGACCGAGUUGUGCUUCCAGACCCUAUGUGAUCGAGUCAGCGCUCUCGAGUCGAGGUUUGAACGGUUGAUCAACGCCAACGUCCGCGGCGGAGACCGGAAGUACACAUGGACGACGGAGAUCAAGGGACCAGUGGAGAGGAAGUACAAGUGGACUGCAGAGAUCAAAGAAGGAAAGAAGAAUAAAGAAGAGAAGAAGGCGGGAGUUGAGAAGAACUACAAAUGGACUGCUGAGAUUAAGGGAAAAGAAGAGGAGCAGCCGAUCUCUCGGAAGUACACUUUCGAGGUGUCCCGUGGUGAUGCAAGUGAGAGUAGCAGAUCGGGAAAGAAAGAGAAAAAGGAUAAGAAGGAUAAGAAGGAGAAGAAAGGAGGGAAUGGUGUGCGUCUGGUGGAGAUUGAAGAACCCAAUGAUCAUGGGGUUGUAGUUCUUAGACAGGCUUUUGCAAAGAGAGCUGGAACUUCCAAAAUUAGCAAGGGAAAGUUGAAGGAAUUGUCUCCUCAAGAUGCGGCGUUGUUGAUCCAGCUGACUUUCAGAGCCUAUCUAAUACGUAGAUCAAAGGUUCUUCGUGCCCUUAGAGAGCUGGCAAUUGCCAAGUCCAAGUUGAAGGAGAUCAGAUCAUUGUUCAACAAUUUCUCAUACCGUAGACAAGUGGCCCGUGAUGCAGUGGAACGCCAGAGAUUCUCUGAAAAAAUCAUUGUCCUGCUUCUCACUGUGGAUGCUAUUGAGGGAACUGAUCUGAUGGUGCGAGCAGCUAAAAGGUCAAUGGUGGAUGAAUUGGAGGCAAUGCUUGAUGUGGUGGACCCUCAACCUCCGGGGAAAUUAAAUUCCAUGAAAAGACGGAUAUUUGAUAUGCCUGAUGGCGUUAUAAGGAAGGAAAUAGCUGAAGGUGUGGCUCAGGUUGUGCAAAUGCUUGAUAAUGAAGAGAAUCUCACCAGCACUUUUGAGGCAUGCUUGUGAUGACAUGGGUUUGUAAAAGAUCAUCCCAACUUUGGGUUCAUUUAGCGUCCUGACUUUAUGUUGUGGUGUUGUAAAAUAUGGAGCAUAUCUAAUAUGGUUGAGCUGUUGACUUCCGUUGAUUGGUAGAUUACCUGUGCUCCUUUUGAAUCUGUCCUCCGUUUGAUGAGGAUUAGUUGUAGUAACUUUUUGCUGUAUUUCCGACUACUGCUUUUUUUGAAUAUGCUCAUGACAGCUUUUUUAUUUAUUUUCUGAGCCUAAAACAGUCGGUUUUAGCUGCUAAGUUUUAGGUACUUCCAUGUUUCUACUGUGGUCCAAAUGACUAGUCAGCAUGGGAGAGUUGCACUGAGAGACGAUCAUUUUCAAGGGGCCAAUGGCCCGCUGUUGGCAGGACAAAUUGCCAAAUUGGUAGCUUGUCGUUUGUCCAAGAGAGAGUUUUGAACUAUUCAUUUGGGCCAAACAGGUCUAUUCAAUGCGUGAGGCAGGCUCAGUAUGUUCGACUGAUAAGCAACCUGUCGUUAUAGUAUUUUGGGCACAUUGCUCGAUAUCUCUGUUUCCCUUCGGCCGUUGCUAUCCAGUGAUAGAGGUUUAUGAACUACAUCUGGAGGGUUGUAGUGGUUAAGAGUUCUUCCAAAUCUAUAUAGGACGAGCGACCUUUCGUUGGCUAAAGGGACACCAGAUUUUUUUUAGGUUUUAGCACAAGCUACACUGGAUAUUGAGAACGGACAUAUGUCCAUUGACAAAACACCUGUGUUUAUGUAUGAUAGAUCCAUUGUUUAUAUGAUACUGGAGCGAUUCAGUGUGAACCUGUGCAUAAUGCUUAUGAGUUGGUAAUCGUCGAUUAUAUGUAUUUCUCAUUUAAUUUAGCGAUUGUCAAUUCGUGUGUUUGUGGUAAAUAAGCUCCAUGUAUAAUAAUAAUACCAG